Molecule: transfer RNA, 85 nt
Filed under: Actinophytocola xinjiangensis
Lineage: Bacteria; Bacillati; Actinomycetota; Actinomycetes; Pseudonocardiales; Pseudonocardiaceae
Also listed under: 7 other names
Description: Actinophytocola sp. QAIII60 tRNA
Rfam family: tRNA
About the family: Transfer RNA (tRNA) molecules are approximately 80 nucleotides in length. Their secondary structure includes four short double-helical elements and three loops (D, anti-codon, and T loops).
Source: Rfam by way of RNAcentral
GGAGGCGUGGCAGAGCGGCCGAAUGCACCUGUCUUGAAAACAGGAGUCCUUCACGGGACCGGGGGUUCAAAUCCCUCCGCCUCCG